RNAcentral lists this ribosomal RNA (253 nucleotides) under uncultured bacterium. Its description in RNAcentral is "partial 16S ribosomal RNA". It matches the Rfam family "Bacterial small subunit ribosomal RNA", at positions 524 to 776 of the family's 1533-position model. The record is from RNAcentral.
UACAGAGACUGCAAGCGUUGUUCGGAUUCACUGGGCGUAAAGGGUGCGUAGGUGGUCGGGUAAGUUUAAGGUGAAAGCUCCGGGCUCAACCCGGAAAUGGCCUUGAAUACUAUCCGGCUCGAGGGUUGGAGGGGGGACUGGAAUUCUCGGUGUAGCAGUGAAAUGCGUAGAUAUCGAGAGGAACACCAGUGGCGAAGGCGAGUCCCUGGACAACACCUGACACUGAGGCACGAAAGCUAGGGGAGCAAACGGG